Molecule: ribosomal RNA, 465 nt
Filed under: uncultured bacterium
Lineage: Bacteria
Description: bacterial SSU rRNA
Rfam family: Bacterial small subunit ribosomal RNA
Source: RNAcentral
CCUACGGGGUGCACCAGUAGGGAAUCUUCGGCAAUGGACGAAAGUCUGACCGAGCAACGCCGCGUGAGUGAAGAAGGUUUUCGGAUCGUAAAACUCUGUUGUUAGAGAAGAACAAGGACGUUAGUAACUGAACGUCCCCUGACGGUAUCUAACCAGAAAGCCACGGCUAACUACGUGACAGCAGCCGCGGUAAUACGUAGGUGGCAAGCGUUGUCCGGAUUUAUUGGGCGUAAAGCGAGCGCAGGCGGUUUCUUAAGUCUGAUGUGAAAGCCCACGGCUCAACCGUGGAGGGUCAUUGGAAACUGGGGGACUUGAGUGCAGAAGAGGAGAGCGGAAUUCCACGUGUAGCGGUGAAAUGCGUAGAGAUGUGGAGGAACACCAGUGGCGAAGGCGACUCUCUGGUCUGUAACUGACGCUGAGGAGCGAAAGCGUGGGGAGCGAACAGGAUUAGAUACCCGGGUAGUC